RNAcentral lists this ribosomal RNA (2888 nucleotides) under Vibrio parahaemolyticus. RNAcentral describes it as "Bacterial large subunit ribosomal RNA". It matches the Rfam family "Bacterial large subunit ribosomal RNA". Lineage: Bacteria; Pseudomonadati; Pseudomonadota; Gammaproteobacteria; Vibrionales; Vibrionaceae. The record is from RNAcentral.
GUUAAGUGACUAAGCGUACACGGUGGAUGCCUUGGCAGUCAGAGGCGAUGAAAGACGUAGUAACUUGCGAUAAGCCCAGAUUAGGUAGUAACAACCAUUUGAGUCUGGGAUUUCUGAAUGGGGAAACCCACGUGCAUAAGCACGUAUCCUUACCUGAAUACAUAGGGUAAGGAGGCGAACCGGGGGAACUGAAACAUCUAAGUACCCCGAGGAAAAGAAAUCAACCGAGAUUCCGAAAGUAGCGGCGAGCGAAAUUGGACUAGCCCUUAAGCUUUACACGCGUUAGACGAACGGUCUGGAAAGUCCGACGAUACAGGGUGAUAGUCCCGUAGUUGACGACGUGUGUUCAGUGAAAUCGAGUAGGGCGGGACACGUGAUAUCCUGUCUGAAUAUGGGGGGACCAUCCUCCAAGGCUAAAUACUACUGACUGACCGAUAGUGAACCAGUACCGUGAGGGAAAGGCGAAAAGAACCCCUGUGAGGGGAGUGAAAUAGAACCUGAAACCGUGUACGUACAAGCAGUAGGAGCAGGCUUUGUCCUGUGACUGCGUACCUUUUGUAUAAUGGGUCAGCGACUUAUAUUCAGUGGCAAGGUUAACCAUCUAGGGGAGCCGUAGGGAAACCGAGUCUUAACUGGGCGUUCAGUCUCUGGAUAUAGACCCGAAACCAGGUGAUCUAGCCAUGGGCAGGUUGAAGGUUGAGUAACAUCAACUGGAGGACCGAACCGACUAAUGUUGAAAAAUUAGCGGAUGACUUGUGGCUAGGGGUGAAAGGCCAAUCAAACCUGGAGAUAGCUGGUUCUCCCCGAAAGCUAUUUAGGUAGCGCCUCGGACGAAUACUACUGGGGGUAGAGCACUGUUAAGGCUAGGGGGUCAUCCCGACUUACCAACCCUUUGCAAACUCCGAAUACCAGUAAGUACUAUCCGGGAGACACACGGCGGGUGCUAACGUCCGUCGUGGAGAGGGAAACAACCCAGACCGCCAGCUAAGGUCCCAAAUUACUACUAAGUGGGAAACGAUGUGGGAAGGCUCAGACAGCCAGGAUGUUGGCUUAGAAGCAGCCAUCAUUUAAAGAAAGCGUAAUAGCUCACUGGUCGAGUCGGCCUGCGCGGAAGAUGUAACGGGGCUAAGUAGUAAACCGAAGCUGCGGCAAUAUACUUUUGUAUAUUGGGUAGGGGAGCGUUCUGUAAGCGGUUGAAGGUGUGUGGUAACGCAUGCUGGACGUAUCAGAAGUGCGAAUGCUGACAUGAGUAACGAUAAAGGGGGUGAAAAACCUCCUCGCCGGAAGACCAAGGGUUCCUGUCCAACGUUAAUCGGGGCAGGGUAAGUCGACCCCUAAGGCGAGGCCGAAAGGCGUAGUCGAUGGGAAACGGGUUAAUAUUCCCGUACUUCUUACAAUUGCGAUGGGGGGACGGAGAAGGCUAGGUGGGCCUGGCGACGGUUGUCCAGGUUCAAGUGCGUAGGCUUAAGAGUUAGGUAAAUCCGGCUCUUUUUAAGGCUGAGACACGACGUCGAGCACCUACGGGUGUGAAGUCAUUGAUGCCAUGCUUCCAGGAAAAGCCUCUAAGCUUCAGAUUGUAAGGAAUCGUACCCCAAACCGACACAGGUGGUCGGGUAGAGAAUACCAAGGCGCUUGAGAGAACUCGGGUGAAGGAACUAGGCAAAAUGGUACCGUAACUUCGGGAGAAGGUACGCUCUUGAUGGUGAAGUCCCUUGCGGAUGGAGCUGACGAGAGUCGCAGAUACCAGGUGGCUGCAACUGUUUAUUAAAAACACAGCACUGUGCAAAAUCGUAAGAUGACGUAUACGGUGUGACGCCUGCCCGGUGCCGGAAGGUUAAUUGAUGGGGUUAGACUUCGGUCGAAGCUCUUGAUCGAAGCCCCGGUAAACGGCGGCCGUAACUAUAACGGUCCUAAGGUAGCGAAAUUCCUUGUCGGGUAAGUUCCGACCUGCACGAAUGGCGUAAUGAUGGCCACGCUGUCUCCACCCGAGACUCAGUGAAAUUGAAAUCGCUGUGAAGAUGCAGUGUACCCGCGGCUAGACGGAAAGACCCCGUGAACCUUUACUACAGCUUGGCACUGAACAUUGACCCUACAUGUGUAGGAUAGGUGGGAGGCUUUGAAGCACGUACGCCAGUAUGUGUGGAGCCGUCCUUGAAAUACCACCCUUGUAGUGUUGAUGUUCUAACGUCGACCCCUAAUCGGGGUUGCGGACAGUGCCUGGUGGGUAGUUUGACUGGGGCGGUCUCCUCCCAAAGAGUAACGGAGGAGCACGAAGGUGGGCUAAUCACGGUUGGACAUCGUGAGGUUAGUGCAAUGGCAUAAGCCCGCUUGACUGCGAGAAUGACAAUUCGAGCAGGUGCGAAAGCAGGUCAUAGUGAUCCGGUGGUUCUGAAUGGAAGGGCCAUCGCUCAACGGAUAAAAGGUACUCCGGGGAUAACAGGCUGAUACCGCCCAAGAGUUCAUAUCGACGGCGGUGUUUGGCACCUCGAUGUCGGCUCAUCACAUCCUGGGGCUGAAGUCGGUCCCAAGGGUAUGGCUGUUCGCCAUUUAAAGUGGUACGCGAGCUGGGUUUAGAACGUCGUGAGACAGUUCGGUCCCUAUCUGCCGUGGGCGUUGGAAGAUUGAAGGGGGCUGCUCCUAGUACGAGAGGACCGGAGUGGACGAACCUCUGGUGUUCGGGUUGUGUCGCCAGACGCAUUGCCCGGUAGCUAAGUUCGGAAUCGAUAACCGCUGAAAGCAUCUAAGCGGGAAGCGAGCCCUGAGAUGAGUCUUCCCUGAUACUUUAAGUAUCCUAAAGGGUUGUCGGAGACUACGACGUUGAUAGGUCAGGUGUGUAAGUGCUGUGAGGCAUUGAGCUAACUGAUACUAAUUGCCCGUGAGGCUUAACC